This 157-nucleotide ribosomal RNA is filed under the name uncultured Alnicola. RNAcentral's name for it is "5.8S ribosomal RNA". It matches the Rfam family "5.8S ribosomal RNA". Rfam says of the family: 5.8S ribosomal RNA (5.8S rRNA) is a component of the large subunit of the eukaryotic ribosome. Lineage: Eukaryota; Fungi; Basidiomycota; Agaricomycetes; Agaricales; Cortinariaceae. The record is from RNAcentral.
CAACUUUCANCAACGGAUCUCUUGGCUCUCGCAUCANAUGAAGAACGCAUCGAAAUGCGAUAAGUAAUGUGAAUUGCAUAAUUCAGUGAAUCAUCGAAUCUNUGAACGCACCUUGCGCUCCUUGGUAUUCCGAGGAGCAUGCCUGUUUGAGUGUCAU